CCUACGGGUGGCAGCAGUGGGGAAUAUUGGGCAAUGGGCGCAAGCCUGACCCAGCAACGCCGCGUGAAGGAAGAAGGCUUUCGGGUUGUAAACUUCUUUUCUCAGGGACGAAGCAAGUGACGGUACCUGAGGAAUAAGCCACGGCUAACUACGGGCCAGCAGCCGCGGUAAUACGUAGGUGGCAAGCGUUAUCCGGAUUUACUGGGUGUAAAGGGUGUGUAGGCGGGACUGCAAGGCAGAGGUGAAAACCACGGGCUCAACCUGUGGCCUGCAGUUGGAACUGGAGUUCUUGAGUACGGGAGAGGCAGACGGAAUGCCUAGUGUAGCGGUGAAAUGCGUAGAUAUUAGGAGGAACACCAGUGGCGAAGGCGGUCUGCUGGACAGCAACUGACGCUGAGGCGCGAAAGCGUGGGGAGCAAACAGGAUUAGAUACCCUAGUAGUC
RNAcentral lists this ribosomal RNA (443 nucleotides) under uncultured bacterium. Its description in RNAcentral is "partial 16S ribosomal RNA". It matches the Rfam family "Bacterial small subunit ribosomal RNA", at positions 338 to 795 of the family's 1533-position model. The record is from RNAcentral.